Xiphophorus hellerii (green swordtail) is the source of this 168-nucleotide long non-coding RNA. RefSeq lists it as uncharacterized. The record is from RefSeq and is a predicted model, not a curated record. The transcript is spliced from 2 exons. Lineage: Eukaryota; Metazoa; Chordata; Actinopteri; Cyprinodontiformes; Poeciliidae.
CACACCCGUCUCUCUCACUCAGGCCUUCAGGAGCCUAUAAGGCAACUCAGCACACCUGUGUUUGGGAUAAUCUCUACAAACAAAGACCUCAUCUUUAAGCUCCUGCAGAAACACCACUGGUUUUCAACCUGCUUGGGUGUCAUGUAUUGGAAAGUACAGUGAUUUAAA